This 4775-nucleotide long non-coding RNA is filed under the name Homo sapiens (human). RNAcentral describes it as "non-protein coding lnc-SOD1-3:5". Lineage: Eukaryota; Metazoa; Chordata; Mammalia; Primates; Hominidae. The record is from RNAcentral.
GUUCGGAGUUGGGCUGUAGAGCGACUAUGGGCGCACGCCGGGUAUCCGCGCCGCAGCCAGGCUCGGAGCGCGCGGCUGGAGGGGCGCGGGCGGCGCGCGCUCCAGAGAUGCCUUCCUGCGAGGCUCCGUCAGCGCGGCCCGGGGAGAUCGCCCGCAGGCAGCGGAGGCGCGGCGGGCCGGGGGACGACCAGGGAGCCCCUAACAAAGCAGCUUUGGGAGGGCCGGAGGCCUCUGCCUCCCUCGGCGAUAGGUCCGCGAAGCUGCCUGUCAUCUCGCAUAGGUGGAGGUGGCCAAUGGCGUGCACAGACGGAGCUCUAGUUGGCGCGCGCGCGCGGCUCGGCAUCGGUGGGAUUGGUCGGAGGGUCUUGCUCUGCCACCCAGGCUAGAGUACAAUGGUGGAACUCGACUCACUGCAACUUCUGCCUCCCGGAUUCAAGCGGUUCUCCUGCCUCAGCCUCUCAAGUAGCUGGGAUUCCAGGCGCAUGCCACCAUGCCCAGCUAAUUUUUUGUACUUUUAGUAGAGACGAGGUUUCACCAUGUGGCCCAGGCUGGUCUUGAACUCCUGAGCUCAGCUGAUCCGCCCGCCUCAGCCUCCCAAAGUGCUAGGAUUACUGGUGUGAGCCACCGUGCCCAGACACUUUGGGGUUUUUUGUUUGUUUGUUUUUGUUUUUGAGACAAGGUCUCACUCUGUUGCCCAGGCUGGAGUACAGUGGCGUGAUCUCAGCUCACUGCAACCUCCACCUCCUGGGUUCAAGCGAUUCUCCUGCCUCAGCCUCCCAAGUAGCAGCGACUACAGGCACGCGCCAUCAUGCCCGGAUAAUUUUUUUGUAUUUUUUUUGGUAGGGAUAGCGUUUCACUGUGUUGGCCAGGCUGGUCUCAAACUCGUGGCCUCAAGUGAUCUGCCCACCUCGGCCCCCCAAAGUGCUGGGAUUACAGGCAUUAGCCACCGCACCAGGCCACGUCAUCACUUCUUUGAAAAUGCAAAACCACCUGGGAAGAAUAACAAUAUUAAAAACAACUGCUUGGUAAAGGAAUUUGUUUAAUCAAGGCUUUCUUACCUGAGGACAGAUUUUUGGGAGUCGGGUGAAAGGACCUAGAAAAGAAAUCAAGAAGUCAGGAUAUUUUCCCAGCAAUGAUAGGUCUUCAAUUAUAAAGAAGAGAGCAAGGAAGCCUCAAUAUGCAAACUAGCAUAUCCAACUAAUACAGAUAAACUCAAGGUCAGAGAGGCAGGACUGGGCAAAUCAGGCCACACUACAUUCACAGAGCUAAGCAGUGCCCCCUCUUUGUAAUUUGCUUUAUUGCAUUUUAUUUUCUGUGUUUUCACUGAAAUGGCAGUUUAUGGAGAAACUCUCCCACUUGGCUGUGAACAGGCUCUAAGCAACAGCAACACUUCUGCAGAAUUGGCAGGGACAGUGCUAUGGAAUAUUUCACAAACUUCAAGGCAAAGGGACAAACAAACAACCAAAAAAAAAAAAAAAAAACACCCUCAAAAUGUAUUUUCAGAGGAAAGAACUUUCACUGGGAAGGGACCCAUGGAUCUCCAAAAGAAAACCAAUUUGGUUUCAUUUUUUUCUGCUUCUGCACUCCAGCCUGAUGAUUAAUUCAUCAGCAUGGGACAGAACAAAAGCUCCUCUUAAACUGUAACUACUACAUGGGGUGGGUUUCUAUGAUGAUGUUGCAGAUCUUGGCCUAAUGGGCUUUCUCUUCACUGACACACAAGGUUCAAUAUUCCUGCCCCACCCACCAUGAGGUGAGAGUUGAAGCUGCCCCCUUUCCCACCUCCUCCAGCGCCCGGACAAGGCACGAUGCAGGGACACGCAGGGCACGUGCCUGCAACUCCACCUGCCUCAAACCAUGUGUUUACUCUCUAUCCUGUAGAAGUGUCAUCGCUCCCCCAGCCUAACAGAAUGACAUGGAAAAGGCUGGAAUGUAGCCACACUGCCUCAGCAAAACAAUCCCUAGGCUUAGAGACGCUGCUGUCCACAGGCAAGCAAACUGGGACAGUGGAGCCACAGAAAUGUGCCUCUCUUCUUGGGGGUAGGGUGACAGCUUCAGUUUCUAUCUAUAUGGAGUUAUUGCCCUUUCUCUGUCUCUCUCUCUCUCUCCCCCACCUCUCUCCUUCUCUCCCUCUCCCUAAAGAGGCAGUAGUUAAAGGCAAAGAGCCUGGUGAUUAAAAAGCAGACUCUGCCCUAAAUCAGACCUUUCUUCUGUCCCUUACCAGCUGUGUGACCUUGGCAAGUUAGUUAACAUCUCUGUGCUUCAUUGCCCUCAUCUGUAAAAUGAGGCUUAUAGGCCGGGCACGGUGGCUCACGCCUGUAAUCCCAGUACUUUGGGAGGCCGAGGCGGGCAGAUCACAAGGUCAGGAGAUCGAGACCAUCCUGGCUACCAUGGUGAAACCCCAUCUCUACUAAAAAUACAUAAAAAAAAAAAAUUAGCUGGGCGUGGUGGUGGGCUCCUGUAGUCCCAGCUACUCGGGAGGUUGAGGCAGGAGAAUGGCGUGAACCCAGGAGGCAGCGCUUGCAGUGAGCCAGGAUCACGCUCACUGCACUCCAGCCUGGGAGACAGAGCGAGACUCCGUUUCAAAAAAAAAAAAAUGAGGCUUAUAAUAGUAGUGUACUUCUGAUAGGGAUGUUAUAGGGAUGGAAUGAGUUGAUGCAGUAAAGAACUUAGUACCUGGCCUGUGUUAGAGACACUAUGGAUCCCUGGCUCAUCUACAAAAAGCCAGACUCACUAUCCAAAGGCAUAGUAAGGCCAGGUGUAGUGGCCUCCCAAAUCCUAGCACUUUGGGAGGCCAAGGUGGGCAGGUCACUUGAGGUCAGGAGCUUGAGACCAGCCUGACCAACAUAGUGAAACCUCAUCUCUACAAAAAAUACAAAAAUUAGCAGGGCAUGGUGAUGGACACUUGUGGUCCUGGCUACUCAGGAGGCUGAGGCAGGAGAAUCGCUUGAACCUGGGAGGCAGAGGUUGCAGUGAGCCGAGAUUGCACCACUGCACUCCAGCCUGGGCGACAGAGUAAGACUCAGUCUCAAAAAAAUAAAAUAAAUGCGUACUAGGUUCCUCUCUCUAGAGCCCCCAAAAGUCUCCUGAAAUCAACCUGUCCAUAAUCUCAUCAUAUUCACCCCACCCCAUUCCCCAAACAAGAAUAAACAAAUCCCACUGAUCUCUUCUUCCAUUUUUCAGACAGGCAGUUCUUAGCCUUACCAUCUAAUGGAGGUACUGCCCAGGCUGGAAGAAUGGGAGGCAGCUUUGACUUAACCUCCCCCUUUACCUUUCAUCUGAUAAAUGCUGAAGCAGUUUCUGGAUCUCUCUUCAGAAUGACUCUGGACCCCAUUUCUCCACAGGCCUCUGCUGCUCCCUGAGCCUCCUUUAUUUUAGAUUUUAGAUUUAGGACAGGGUCUCGCUCUGUCACCCAGGCUGGAGUGUGGUGGCACGAUCACGGCUCACUGCAGCCUUAACUUCCCAGGUUCAAGUGAUCCUCCCGCCUCAACCUCCUGAGUAGCUGGGACUACAGGCAGGAGCUACCAAGCCUGGCCAAUUUUUUAAUUUUUUUGUAGAAAGGGAGGUCACAUUAGGCUCCCCAGGCUGGUCUUGAACUCCUGUGCUCAAGCAGUCCUCCCACCUCCAUCUCCCAAAGUGCUGGGAUGACAGGUGUGACACACCGCGCCCCGAGCCUUCUUUAGAAGGUACAGAAUGUGCACUGAUUAGAGAUGUGUGGUGAUUUAACAAACAUUUAAAACUGCCUGUUUUGUGCAAUGUAACAGACCGGGGCUGAAGGAAAGGAGAAAUACAGAGACACACUACAGACACACAUAGUGAUAGAGGAGGGUCAGCAGGGAAAGCAAGAACCAACAUACUGCCAGGCCAGGCAGCUCAGCGCUGUGCAGGGGCUGAUGUGGUGAGCACUUGCUUCAGUUUCCCACAUCAGCAAUGUCCUCCCGAUGAUGGUGCCCAACAGCAGGGUCCUUAGAUAGUAAGGCUAAGAACUGCCUGCCUGGGAAACCAAAGAAGAGAUCAGUGGGAUUUGUUUGUUCUCGUUUGGGGAAUGGGGUGGGGUGGAUAUGAGAUGACGGACAGGUUGAUUUCAGGAGAUUUUUGGGGGGCUCUAGGAAGAGAAUCCUAGUAUGCCUUUUAAUUUUAUUUUUUUUUUAGACUGAAUCUCACUCUGUUGAGGUUUGAGUUUACUAAUUAAGUACUAUAUUACUUGCUGCAGGCCACCAUAACAGAAUACCUUAGACCGCGUGGCUUAAACAGCAGACAUUCACUGUCUCCCAGUUCUGGAGACUAGAAGUUCAAGAUCAAGGUGCCAGCAGAUUUGGUUUCUCCCAAGGCCUCUCUUCUUGCCAGCCAAGAAGAGAGGCCUUCUUGCCUUCUCGCUGUGUCCUCACGUGGCCAGGUGUCUCUCUAUGUCCAAACUUCCUCUUCUUAUAAGGACACCAGUCAGAUUGGAUUAGGGCCCACCAUCAUGGCCUCAUUUUCACUGAAUCACCUCUUUAAAAGGCUUAUCUCUGGCCAGGCGCGGUGGCUCACGCCUGUAAUUCCAGCACUUUGGGAGGCUGAGGUGGGCUGAUGAUGAGGUCAGGAGAUCGAGACCAUCCUGGUGAAAUCCCAUCUCUACUAAAAAUACAAAAAUAGCUGGGUGUGGUGGCACAUGCCUGUAGUCCCAGCUACUCGGGAAGCUGAGGCAGGAGAGUCCCUUAAACCAGGGAGGCAGAGGUUGCAGUGAGUUAAGAUUGCGCCACUGCACCCCAGCCUGGCGACAGAGCAAGACUCCAUCU